UGGGGAAUAUUGCACAAUGGGGGAAACCCUGAUGCAGCGACGCCGCGUGAGUGAAGAAGUAUUUCGGUAUGUAAAGCUCUAUCAGCAGGGAAGAUAAUGACAGUACCUGACUAAGAAGCCCCGGCUAACUACGUGCCAGCAGCCGCGGUAAUACGUAGGGGGCAAGCGUUAUCCGGAUUUACUGGGUGUAAAGGGAGCGUAGACGGAGUGGCAAGUCUGAAGUGAAAACCCUGGGCUUAACCUAGGGACUGCUUUGGAAACUGUUAAUCUAGAGUGUUGGAGAGGUAAGUGGAAUUCCUGGUGUAGCGGUGAAAUGUGUAGAUAUCAGGAAGAACACCGGAGGCGAAGGCGGCUUACUGGACAAUAACUGACGUUGAGGCUCGAAAGCGUGGGGAUCAAACAGGAUUAGAUACCCUGGUAGUCCACGCUGUAAACGAUGAAUACUAGGUGUCGGGGUGCAAAGCAUCUCGGUGCCGUCGCAAACGCAAUAAGUAUUCCACCUGGGGAGUACGUUCGCAAGAAUG
RNAcentral lists this ribosomal RNA (524 nucleotides) under uncultured bacterium. RNAcentral describes it as "bacterial SSU rRNA". It matches the Rfam family "Bacterial small subunit ribosomal RNA", at positions 355 to 896 of the family's 1533-position model. The record is from RNAcentral.